UAAGACGGAGGGGGCAAGCGUUGUCCGGACUCACUGGGCGUAAAGGGUGCGCAGGCGGCAGAGCGCGUCCGCGCUGAAAUCUGUCGGCUUAACUGACAGGCGCGUGCGGAUACGGCUCAGCUCGAGGCACGGAGAGGGUGGGGGAACUCCUGGUGUAGUGGUGAAAUGCGUAGAGAUCAGGAAGAACACCCGUGGCGCAAGCGCCCACCUGGCCGUGACCUGACGCUGCGGCACGAAAGCGUGGGGAGCGAACCGGAUUAGAUACCCGGGUAGUCCACGCUGUAAACGAUGUCGACUCGGUGGGUGGGUCGCCUUUUGGGCGACCUGCGUGCCUAAGCUCACGCGGUAAGUCGACCGCCUGGGGACUACGAGCGCAAGCUUA
This 382-nucleotide ribosomal RNA is filed under the name uncultured bacterium. RNAcentral's name for it is "bacterial SSU rRNA". It matches the Rfam family "Bacterial small subunit ribosomal RNA", at positions 521 to 896 of the family's 1533-position model. The record is from RNAcentral.